GCAACAAGCAACGCGUUUACCUGACUGCAAGAUGGUGCAUCUUGCGCGCGCGUUACCUGCAGGUACGUACUCUACGCUCUCCAUUAAAGGUUACAAGCUUUCGCUGGAUGGAUGGGAUCCUCCUCCUGCACCCCACCUUCGCCGCCGACGAGCAAGCAAAGCAACCCUGCUCCAUCAUCGUCUUCCGUUCAUUCCUUCAAUUCUCCAGCUACACUGAGUCAAAUCGCCCUCCUCCACUGUCGGCUAAAAUCAAGAUCCGACGGUCCAGCAGCCAUCUUCUUCCCCAGCAACAACCCUCUCCUUCCUCUGUUUUUCUUGCUCUUGUGGGUGCUUGCCCCUUCCUCUCCACCUGCUCGCCUCCCAAGAGGUCUGUUUCUCAGGAAGAAGAAGAGGAUCCUCCAGUAAGCCUGUUGGGUGGGAGAUAGACGCAGCAUGGAUUUCAUCAAACUCGAGGUGCUCCAAGACAUCACAAACAACUUGGCAGAUGACCGGAGAGUCGGAAGCGGUGGGUACGGAGUUGUUUACAGGGCGACGCAUGAUGGGCAAGAGAUUGCCGUGAAGAGGCUGCAUCAAUUGCACGGUCUCAACGACAAGCAAUUCGACAGCGAGUUUCGUAACCUUCUUAAUAUACGCCACCAAAAUGUUGUGCGGCUAAUUGGCUACUGCCACGAGUCUCGGAACAAAUACAUGAAGCACAAGGGGGAGCUUAUCCGCGCUAAAGAGAUGGAGCGAGUGCUCUGCUUCGAAUAUAUGCACGGCGGAAGCCUCGAUAAACACAUUCAAGAUGAAUCUUGUGGGCUUGAGUGGCCAACAUGUUUCAAGAUUAUUAAUGGGACCAGUGAGGAACUACAUCACCUUCACACCUCGCAGGGAAAACCUAUUUUCCAUCUGGAUUUAAAGCCUGGUAAUAUUUUGCUGGAUGAAAGUAUGACACCCAAAAUUGGAGACCUUGGUUUGUCAAGGCUCGUUGCUUCAACAAAAACACGACAAACAGAGAUGCGUGAUGGAACGCUGUAAGGAUUCAUGCCACAGGAGUACGUUGACAGUGGCUUGAUUUCAAAGAAGUUUGACGUGUUCAGUUUGGGCGUCAUAAUUAUAAAAAUGUUGGCCGGGGAGAAGAGCUACUAUCGUCGUUCUGAAACGCCCGAACAGUUUAUUGAGCGUGUAAGAGAAAACUGGAUGAAGAAGUUGCAGGCAAAGCCUGGAUAUUCCUCGCAAGAAAUAGACAUACUAGGAGUGACUUCAUGUGUUGAGGUUGCAGUAAAGUGUGUGGACAUGGACCGAAGCAAAAGACCAUGCAUCCAGCAGAUCGUCCAUGAACUGGAGGAACUAGAAGCUAAGCUUAAAACAAUUUCACUAGCUCCUGAUGUGUCAAAAACUGUCCAGCGAAGCUGUGACACGAACAUUCUCUCGGUGGAUCCAACCAUGGAGGUGCGGUUCCUCUUUGAGCUAAGGAAGGAGGCGUCGUGCUGCCUGCAGCUGACCAACAAGACGGGUGGCUUCAUCGCAUUCAACAUAUUGAUCAAUGAGAACAAUUACAUUGUGCGGCCAAGCCAAGGGACCAUCCCGCCGUGCUCCAGGCGUUAUGUCGUCGUGAUGCUACGGGCGAAGGAGGCGGCUCCGCCGUACAUGCGGUGCGAUGACAUGCUCCUCGUGCAGAGCACUGGCGUUAGCCAAGAUCUUGGUGAUAUGAACUAUCGAGAAUUGUUCAAGACGGCCAUGGGGAAUGAGGUGGUUGAUGUGGUGAAGCUGCCGAUCGCUUAUGUUACAUUGGACCAGUAGUAGAGCAUUCUCCACCAGGAACUGAGAAUAGCUCAGGUGGUAAAGCGCCGUGUUAGUAAAUUCACACAGUUCUUGAGUUGUUGUUUGUUGAUGGGUGUUCUCUUUUAGGUCUUGAGUCGAUUGUUUGUUCUUCGAUUAUGCUGUCUUCGAUUAGUUGAUGUGGUGCAACUCCGAUCGUUUGUUAUUCGAUUAUAUGUUAUCGUCCAUUGGUU
This is an RNA transcript of Hordeum vulgare subsp. vulgare (domesticated barley), 1994 nucleotides long. It is a transcript of the gene named putative receptor-like protein kinase At4g00960, with no coding region annotated. The record is from RefSeq and is a predicted model, not a curated record. The transcript has 8 exons. Lineage: Eukaryota; Viridiplantae; Streptophyta; Magnoliopsida; Poales; Poaceae.